AUUCGAUGCAACGCGAAGAACCUUACCAGGCCUUGACAUUGACUGUAAGAGUUAGAGAUAACUCCCUCUCUUCGGAGACAGGAAAACAGGUGGUGCAUGGCUGUCGUCAGCUCGUGUCGUGAGAUGUUGGGUUAGGUCCCGCAACGAGCGCAACCCCUGUUCUUUGUUGCCAGCACGUAAUGGUGGGCACUCAAAGGAGACUGCCGCGGAGAACGCGGAGGAAGGCGGGGAUGACGUCAAGUCAUCAUGCCCCUUAUGGCCUGGGCUACACACGUACUACAAUGGAACGGACAGAGAGCAGCGAACCCGCGAGGGCAAGCGAACCUCAAAAACCGUUUCCCAGUUCGGAUUGCAGGCUGCAACCCGCCUGCAUGAAGUCGGAAUCGCUAGUAAUCGCAGGUCAGCAUACUGCGGUGAAUACGUUCCCGGGCCUAGUACAC
This 440-nucleotide ribosomal RNA is filed under the name uncultured bacterium. Its description in RNAcentral is "bacterial SSU rRNA". It matches the Rfam family "Bacterial small subunit ribosomal RNA", at positions 949 to 1388 of the family's 1533-position model. The record is from RNAcentral.